Long non-coding RNA from Anguilla anguilla (European eel), 1104 nucleotides. RefSeq lists it as uncharacterized. NCBI's taxonomy places the organism in Eukaryota, Metazoa, Chordata, Actinopteri, Anguilliformes, Anguillidae. The transcript is spliced from 4 exons. The record is from RefSeq and is a predicted model, not a curated record.
UACUCACCGGGCCCUGCAUAUGAAUCAUGUAUCUGAUUCAGCGGUGUGUCCUUACGACGUUGAGAAUGGGUCUGGCUGUGCCGUUUUCAUGCAAUGCAUACAUUUUUCAGAGACUGGAGACAUAUCCGUAAGACCGUAGGUUUUAUUUGCAGUCUUCAUCUUGACCGUGUUAUCAAUUUUUACCGUCAAAAUUGAUUUUGGGGUGAGGUUCCCCUUUAAGAGGUCUUCGUGAUGUGGUGGGAUAUUAAUUCCCAUUGCACAGGGCCUGCAUGCAGCGCUCUGUGUGUGUAUGUAAAAAGCAGGGGGUUUGACUGUGAGCCAGCCCUUCCCCCGGCUCGGUCUGGAGCUGUUUGAGGCCUUGCAGCCCCGGUGGAGCCUGCUGAAGUCCACAGGGCUCUCUCACUCCAGUGAAUCCAUCAUCCCGCCCUCCCCGUGCCCACUCACUGAGACCUUGUCAUGCCAGCAUCUUGGGUUCGUCUCCCAUCACAACCGAGCGCAAACAAGAGUUCCUAUUGGCUGGGCCGCUUUGCCACUUCAUCGUUUCUGUUCUUCGGCUGCUUCAGACGUCCAAGACAGGUUCCUUUGGCACUGGAAGGUGUUGUGAAUUGUAACAGCCGGAGAGGAGAGAGUGAUGGAGAGAGCGAGAGAGAGAGAGAGAGGGAGAGGGAGACCACCAACGGCUUUCUCACGUAAAGCAGCUGGAUGGAGAGCACGCCACACUUCUGUACCUGGGCCUUGUUACCUGGGCCUCGUCAUGGCAACGGAUACCCUGAGGUCUGAAAUGGGGUCGUACCCCUGAAGUAGCCUGAGAGAAUCCCGCGCCACUGACAGGGACUGUAUGAAGAAAGGAACGUGUGUAAUGGUGCGUAACCAGAGCAGAAUCAGGUUCACCGUUUAAACCCCAUUCAGGUGGAAUACCCCUCUCAACACUUAACGGAAAGCCAUGAAGUAAAAUGUAGACUUUGCCUAGAACCACGCACCAUUUCUCCUUCUCUUCGGUUAAAAAUGUAAUGUUAGACUUAGUUUCUGUUCUUCACAGACCUAGUUGUGAACUAUAGCUGUCACCAAAUCAAUAAAUAUGAUUGUGUGUUUGAACUGGAAAAU